This 1376-nucleotide ribosomal RNA is filed under the name Staphylococcus aureus. Its description in RNAcentral is "partial 16S ribosomal RNA". It matches the Rfam family "Bacterial small subunit ribosomal RNA", at positions 78 to 1438 of the family's 1533-position model. The record is from RNAcentral. Lineage: Bacteria; Bacillati; Bacillota; Bacilli; Caryophanales; Staphylococcaceae.
GCUUGCUUCUCUGAUGUUAGCGGCGGACGGGUGAGUAACACGUGGAUAACCUACCUAUAAGACUGGGAUAACUUCGGGAAACCGGAGCUAAUACCGGAUAAUAUUUUGAACCGCAUGGUUCAAAAGUGAAAGACGGUCUUGCUGUCACUUAUAGAUGGAUCCGCGCUGCAUUAGCUAGUUGGUAAGGUAACGGCUUACCAAGGCAACGAUGCAUAGCCGACCUGAGAGGGUGAUCGGCCACACUGGAACUGAGACACGGUCCAGACUCCUACGGGAGGCAGCAGUAGGGAAUCUUCCGCAAUGGGCGAAAGCCUGACGGAGCAACGCCGCGUGAGUGAUGAAGGUCUUCGGAUCGUAAAACUCUGUUAUUAGGGAAGAACAUAUGUGUAAGUAACUGUGCACAUCUUGACGGUACCUAAUCAGAAAGCCACGGCUAACUACGUGCCAGCAGCCGCGGUAAUACGUAGGUGGCAAGCGUUAUCCGGAAUUAUUGGGCGUAAAGCGCGCGUAGGCGGUUUUUUAAGUCUGAUGUGAAAGCCCACGGCUCAACCGUGGAGGGUCAUUGGAAACUGGAAAACUUGAGUGCAGAAGAGGAAAGUGGAAUUCCAUGUGUAGCGGUGAAAUGCGCAGAGAUAUGGAGGAACACCAGUGGCGAAGGCGACUUUCUGGUCUGUAACUGACGCUGAUGUGCGAAAGCGUGGGGAUCAAACAGGAUUAGAUACCCUGGUAGUCCACGCCGUAAACGAUGAGUGCUAAGUGUUAGGGGGUUUCCGCCCCUUAGUGCUGCAGCUAACGCAUUAAGCACUCCGCCUGGGGAGUACGACCGCAAGGUUGAAACUCAAAGGAAUUGACGGGGACCCGCACAAGCGGUGGAGCAUGUGGUUUAAUUCGAAGCAACGCGAAGAACCUUACCAAAUCUUGACAUCCUUUGACAACUCUAGAGAUAGAGCCUUCCCCUUCGGGGGACAAAGUGACAGGUGGUGCAUGGUUGUCGUCAGCUCGUGUCGUGAGAUGUUGGGUUAAGUCCCGCAACGAGCGCAACCCUUAAGCUUAGUUGCCAUCAUUAAGUUGGGCACUCUAAGUUGACUGCCGGUGACAAACCGGAGGAAGGUGGGGAUGACGUCAAAUCAUCAUGCCCCUUAUGAUUUGGGCUACACACGUGCUACAAUGGACAAUACAAAGGGCAGCGAAACCGCGAGGUCAAGCAAAUCCCAUAAAGUUGUUCUCAGUUCGGAUUGUAGUCUGCAACUCGACUACAUGAAGCUGGAAUCGCUAGUAAUCGUAGAUCAGCAUGCUACGGUGAAUACGUUCCCGGGUCUUGUACACACCGCCCGUCACACCACGAGAGUUUGUAACACCCGAAGCCGGUGGAGUAA